UCAGUACCACGAUCCUGAUGAUGAACC
RNAcentral lists this non-coding RNA (27 nucleotides) under Homo sapiens (human). The record is from RNAcentral. Lineage: Eukaryota; Metazoa; Chordata; Mammalia; Primates; Hominidae.